GAAGUAAAAGUCGUAACAAGGUUUCCGUAGGUGAACCUGCGGAAGGAUCAUUAUCGAAUUACCGGCGAGGGCUGUGGCUGGCCUUUCGGGGCACGUGCACGCCCGAGCCCUUAAUCCAAACCACACCUGUGAACCAUUUGUAAGGCGCGAGGCCUCGGCCUCGGGCCUUUACGUAUCGUCAUAAACGCAU
This 190-nucleotide unclassified non-coding RNA is filed under the name Stereopsis vitellina. Its description in RNAcentral is "sequence contains 18S rRNA gene, ITS1, 5.8S rRNA gene". The stretch from base 1 to 53 matches the Rfam family "Eukaryotic small subunit ribosomal RNA", at positions 1779 to 1831 of the family's 1831-position model. Lineage: Eukaryota; Fungi; Basidiomycota; Agaricomycetes; Stereopsidales; Stereopsidaceae. The record is from RNAcentral.